Molecule: long non-coding RNA, 2177 nt
Filed under: Mus musculus (house mouse)
Lineage: Eukaryota; Metazoa; Chordata; Mammalia; Rodentia; Muridae
Description: long non-coding RNA chr5:81583989-81586166
Source: RNAcentral
GGGGCUUAUUAUAGUGACAAACUGAUGGGUCACAGUAUUUUUCCCAUGAGGCUUUGUUAUUUUUCAAGAACUACAACUCCCAGAACUCCAGGAAGUUACCUGCUUCUUGGGCAGGUGGAGCUUACAGGUUAAUUUUAGGCAUUACAUUAUAUUGUACUUGCCUCUUCAAAAACCUACCUUCAUUAUGUUGGCAAAUCUGUUUGUCCUGGUCCUAAUUCAUUGAUUUCCUCUCAGUUUUAAGCAUCAGAUUUAUAGAAAGCAAUAAUCUCUGAAGUGUCUGUAGAUGAAAUGAGAGGAGGUUUAUUAGUAAAAUACAAAGGACAAAUUAACAUUACUACCUGGCAAUUAAAAGAAACAUGUUUUUAUUUGUACCCACCUGACAUUUUUUUUUAAAUUGCUGGUUUGUACAAACCACAUUGCAUGGAGAAACCAUGUAGCAUUCUUCAUGAAUAGUAAGACAAAUAAGAGCUGCAAGAAAUUCUGUGUAAAAAUAGCCAUAUUCUUGCAAGAGCAUUUGUGUGGUUUAGCAUUAAAACUAGUUGGGCAUAGAGAACAGUUUGACUGUAAGUUAUCAGUCAGGCAAUCAAUAAAUCAAUCAAUAAAUCAGUAUAGGGCACAGUGAGUUUGAUGUAUGUACUAUUUACCAAUGGCCAAGGCAAUUCAAGAGAUGAUAUUUAUUCACUAUGUUUUAUCUUAAAAUAAAGGAGAAAACAAGGAGGGAAUUUCUAAAUAUGUAAAAAUAAAACUGUGAAGGAAGCCCACAUUCAGAAAUACCACAAGAGUCAUUUGUAAUAGCAAAUCGAAGAAGCCUAUAGUCUAAUUGUAAUUUGUACAGACUGCGUAUAUUUGUAUUGAAGAGGCUCUCUCUCUCUCUCUCUCUCUCUCUCUCUCUCUCUCUCUCUCUCUCUCUCUCUCUCUCUCUCCUGUCCCCACCUUGAGAUUGCCUUUUGCUUUCCCCUCUCCUUCAAUACACCUCUUGCUCUAGAUCUGCUGUGUGGCGUAAUUUGUUAGCAGCACACCUUGGCACAGACCCAACAAAGAUACCCCCUCCCCCCACUGCUUUAUCCAGCAAUGUCUAUGCCCUAUUUAAUAAAAGACCUUAAAUUACUGGGAAUUUGGAGGGAGUGAUUAGGUUUAUUUGCAGAAACUGAUUGGUGAGCUGGAGGUAAUAACACACACCUGUUCUCUGAGCAAUCUUGAGGUGGAAACAAACUGAUCCAAAGUUCAAAACGAUUCUCUCAUACCUAGUGACUUCAAGACUAUCCUGAGCUACAUGAGACCCUUUCUCGAACACCAAACAAUAGAAUUGGCUUAAAGAAUAUUUAGUCAAGAGAAAAAGGUAAUUUUAAGAGAUCCCACUUCUAAAGUUUAAUUUCUUUCUUGUUUCCCAUAGGUUAGCUAAAUUAACCUCUCAGUUUUAACCCAAAUUGUUCAUUGUAUUUAUGAUUCAAAAUUCCAUGAGCACUGAGGAAAAUAUUCUGUGAUUACAUUCUUCUUCAAGUAUAUAAAUUCAUUAUGCUGUGUACUGUGAAAAAAUAUUUGUGGUGAAGAGUUUUGAAAGCUUGUAGGAAAGAAGCUAUAAAAACCAAGAGGAAAGAAUGUAAGUGUAGUGUUCCCUUUACAAUUCCCACAGCUGUGUUGUUUACAUGUUUUUAGUCUCUGGAUUCGGAGCAGAUGCUUUUGACUGAAAGAUGGGAGACUUUUUUAGUCCCAUUCCAUGUUGUCAUUAAGUUUUGAUUUGUGACAUUGAGGACGUUAUGUAUUUCUAAAGCUAGGGAAUUUGAAGUACCCAUAUUUUUAAGUCAAAGUCAUGUAGAAGCCAAGUGUCUUCUGUAUGCUAAUGUUCAUUCUUGAAUAACAAUGAUAUUCAUGAAUACUUAUUAUAGUGCUUAUUAACAUUUUGUUUUUAAAUCACUGUAUUUAUCAAGCAAAUUUACUUCUAUGGAACUUUUUUAUUAUGUUCUUGAUUGGGAAAAAUUGGAAAGUGAUUUCUAUUUAUUCUAUCAUGUAAAAUCUUUACUUUUAUAAACACCUAAUUUAAAGUAUGACUUUUACUCUACUAGAGUACAGCAGGAAUUGUAAAUGUUGUGCUGACUAGUAGAAGAAAAAUUAAAAUCCAAGUUAGAGUUUUUUUGGGUUUUUUAAAAAUUAUUAUUAUUUUAAUCUUUAUUCAUUGC